AGAGUUUGAUCCUGGCUCAGAACGAACGCUGGCGGCGUGCCUGAGACAUGCAAGUCGUGGGAGAAAGUCGGAGCAAUCCGGCUAGUAAACCGGCGCACGGGUGAGUAACACGUGGGCAACCUGCCUUGGAGACCGGGAUAACCCGUCGAAAGACGGGCUAAUACCGGAUAAGACCCCGGAUAGUUCGCUAUCUGAGGUAAAAGGUGGCCUCUGCUCCUGCAAGCUAUUACUUCAAGAGGGGCCCGCGGCCUAUCAGCUAGUUGGUGAGGUAACGGCCCACCAAGGCUUAGACGGGUAGCUGGUCUGAGAGGAUGGUCAGCCACACUGGGACUGAGACACGGCCCAGAGUCCUACGGGAUGCAGCAGUCAGGAAUAUUGCGCAAUGGAGGAAACUCUGACGCAGCGACGCCGCGUGGGUGAUGAAGGCCUUCGGGUCGUAAAGCCCUGUCGGAGGGGAAGAAAAGCCUGUUGGCUAAUAUCCAGCGGGCCUUUGACGGUACCCUCAAAGGAAGCACCGGCUAACUCCGUGCCAGCAGCCGCGGUAAGACGGAGGGUGCAAGCGUUGUUCGGAUUGACUGGGCGUAAAGGGCGUGUAGGCGGUUGGUCAAGUCUGGUGUGAAAGCCCGGGGCUUAACCCCGGAAGUGCAUUGGAAACUAGCCAGCUGGAGCGCGAGAGAGGAGGGUGGAAUUCCUGGUGUAGCGGUGAAAUGCGUAGAUAUCAGGAGGAACACCGGCGGCGAAGGCGGCCCUCUGGCUCGUUGCUGACGCUGAAACGCGAAAGCGUGGGGAGCAAACAGGAUUAGAUACCCUAGUAGUCC
This 818-nucleotide ribosomal RNA is filed under the name uncultured bacterium. Its description in RNAcentral is "bacterial SSU rRNA". It matches the Rfam family "Bacterial small subunit ribosomal RNA", at positions 8 to 796 of the family's 1533-position model. The record is from RNAcentral.